Molecule: small RNA, 485 nt
Filed under: Arabidopsis thaliana (thale cress)
Lineage: Eukaryota; Viridiplantae; Streptophyta; Magnoliopsida; Brassicales; Brassicaceae
Description: ATSL151210
Source: RNAcentral
UUUGCGUUUAAAUUGAAUACUGAUAUUUAUUGUUAAGAAGAUAUCAUGGUUCCUUUUCGAAUUAAUUCACACACAUUCAUACACAAAAUAGAGAACAUGAAGCUCUGAAUCCAUGUGAAGUUAAAUUAGCAUAUCCAAAGAAGAUUGAAAUGCGUGACGUCGUAAGUUUAAGCUACAUUUUUGUAAACUAAGAGUAAACUUGCAGAAAAAUAUUACUUAUAUUUUCUUAGAAAGCCCUACAUAUUAUUUAUCAACCGCUAAUGUGAACUAUGGACACAAACGCAACAUACCGACAUGCAUACGCAAGAGCAUGAUAUUGCAACAGUUAAAAGAAAAGCCUUUAUGAAAAAAGUAAACCUUAUCUUCAGCGCGUAAAUAAGAUAAGAUAAAGAUGAUCUUUGAGUCAAUUAAUAAAUUUAUUUUUUCUUUUUGAAUUUCUGUCACAGAAUUUUUUUGUUCUUUAUUAUUUUGAUAAAACAAAUAAU